CGAUCUCCCCCCUGACCUUGUAGAAGCCCACCCUGCGGCCGAUGAUCAGCUCCUUGAUGGUCUUCUCGUCUUUGCACAUGGCCACGACCAUGGUUCUGGACGGAUUCCUUUCCAAACGGCUGGCCCAGACGGAGCCAGAGAAAACAGGAGCUUCUUACAUGCUGAGGUCCUGAUUCCGAUGAUUGCAGCUCAGUAAACAGGUAUUGAUCAGCCAUCAGCUGAAAGCAGGUGUGCCGGAGCAGGA
Long non-coding RNA from Fundulus heteroclitus (mummichog), 244 nucleotides. RefSeq lists it as uncharacterized. NCBI's taxonomy places the organism in Eukaryota, Metazoa, Chordata, Actinopteri, Cyprinodontiformes, Fundulidae. The record is from RefSeq and is a predicted model, not a curated record. The transcript has 3 exons.